This 253-nucleotide ribosomal RNA is filed under the name uncultured bacterium. RNAcentral's name for it is "partial 16S ribosomal RNA". It matches the Rfam family "Bacterial small subunit ribosomal RNA", at positions 524 to 776 of the family's 1533-position model. The record is from RNAcentral.
AACGUAGGAGACGAACGUUAUCCGGAGUUACUGGGCGUAAAGGGCGUGCAGGCGGUCUGAUAAGUUCGGCGUGAAAUAUUCCGGCUUAACCGGGAUAGGUCGUCGGAGACUGUCGGACUAGAGGGUGAUAGAGGCGUGUGGAAUUCCGGGUGCAGUGGUGAAAUGCGUAGAGAUCCGGAGGAACACCAGUGGCGAAGGCGACACGCUGGGUCACACCUGACGCUAAAGCGCGACAGCAUGGGGAGCGAACGGG